RNAcentral lists this long non-coding RNA (1240 nucleotides) under Numida meleagris (helmeted guineafowl). RNAcentral's name for it is "lncRNA (ENSNMEG00000013644.1)". Lineage: Eukaryota; Metazoa; Chordata; Aves; Galliformes; Numididae. The record is from RNAcentral.
CUGGCCACCUCUAAGGAGGCAGAACAAUUCUAAUCUUAUAAAAUUUAAACCUUUUUCUUCUUUUUUUUCCCCCCCACUCUCUCUUUUCAUUGAUUCUGUAAAAACUGUAGAAAUCAAUCAUCUGACUCUUUUGACUGAGCUUCCAAUAUUUAGUUAAAAUAAUAGGUUAAUUGAAGGCCUAAUAAUUAAUUUUAUCUCUUUUCUUAGGAAAACUUAAUCCCCUGGGCUUACUAAAACAAAAUAAAAUAAAUUAGUAAUUGUUCUGCUGUAGUGAACUUUUUUUUUUUUUUUUUUUUGCAUCUUCUAACAUACUCCCUCUAGAGUAAAUUCAGGCAGUCUAACAUCACCACUGCAAAUCCUCAUUCUUUUUUACUUUCUCACCCAAACUUACAAAAAAAAUCAGUAUAACAGUAAAUUAUUUCUUUAGCAUCAGUGACUAAUGUUAACAUCAAUUCCAGCAUUUCUCUCCAUCAGAAAUUUUCCAGAUUGUAAUAUAUGCAUCUGGACUGCAGUCUAAUGGAUGCAAAAGUUGAGUCAGGAUGGCUUCCCUGGCAAUAAGAAACCAGGAGAGGAAGAAGAAAAUGGGCCAUGCAUCUUCAGUAUCACGAAUUUCCUGUGUACUCUGCUUCCGCAAGUGACAGUCACUUUCCAGGGGACGCAGUGCAAUAAAUAAUGGUAACCCUGAAGUACAUCUGAAGUAAACCUUCCCAUCCUGCCUCAGAGACUCAUGCAGGUGAUAUUCGGUGCUUUGGACAGCUAACACAAUUUCUGCACACUUACAGCUUUUCCAUCAUUCUCAAAUUGAAAAUUCCAUGUAGUCAUUAUCAGUUUGGUUCAACAAAAUCACAGGAGAGGUUUUAAAGAAAAAAAGUUGGUUUGACUGCAAGAUAACUGUGCAGCUGUUGCUUCCCAUCUAGAAAAGGCAUUGAGGUGUUCUUACAUUGUGACAUAAUCCUCCAAGACCUUUGUUUUUUUUUCCCAAAAAUUUGGCAUUUUUUGUGCUGAGUGUGUUGCUGAAGAGUUCAUAGAAAAGGUUACCUAAUGGAAUUUUGGAUUUUUUUUUAAUGCUAGUGACCUUCUUUGGGUAAGGAUAAGUACAUACCUCCCUGGAAGGGAACCUGAUAGUGUAUAUAAAUUUAACAAUAUUUUCCUGAAAUGUUGCCUGUUGUAAGCUGACGUAAUCACAGUAUUUGCUGUUUUAUAAUUAAUAAACAAUAAUCAUUUUGAAGAUGGUUUCUCA